Molecule: ribosomal RNA, 930 nt
Filed under: Triticum aestivum (bread wheat)
Lineage: Eukaryota; Viridiplantae; Streptophyta; Magnoliopsida; Poales; Poaceae
Description: partial small subunit ribosomal RNA
Source: RNAcentral
AUGCAUGUCGAUAAUGUCAUCCAGCUUCUCCCGGUUCUCCGCAUCGGGACCUCCAUUUCGGUUGGCUCUCGGACCUCCACCUUGUUUUGGUUCGACCGGUGGGCUGGGGACUCCCCCUUUGCCGCCAGGUUCCCGGAUAUGUUCUCCAUUGCGGUGGAGCCUAGGAUAUCCGUCGAGUCGGCCCUUAUUGACUUAGGGCGUCUCGCGUUCCGGCGGCCAUUUGGGCCCCCGGAAACCACCUCCUGGCAUGAGCUCUUGGAGGCCAUUGCCCUGCACGAGCCUGAUUUGUCGUAGCCUCACGACCGUCUAUCCUGGCGCCUCGAGCCCUCGGGUCGGUUCUCCAUGAAGUCCCUAUACCAGGCCAUCGCCCCCUCCCCUGGACCGGCGGCCCUUGAGAUGAUCUGGGCGAUCUGUGUGCCCCUCAAGAUCAGGAUCUUCAUGUGACAAUGGAUCCGCGGCCGGCUUCCCUCCGGCGUUGAGGUGUUAAAACGGAAUGGCCCGGGCGAUGGGAUGUGUCCCCUAUGUGGGAUGGAGGAAACCUCGAAUCACAUCUUCUUCUCGUGUGUUUCCACCCAGUUCCUCUGGAGUUGCCUCCAUGAGGUGGUCCGGGCUAGUUGGUGCCACACCAAUUUCCCAGACCUCCUCGCCGAGGUCCAGGCCUCUCCCCCGUCAGGCUGCCACAUUAGGUGGCUGCUCAUUGGGGUCCGCGCCUGGACGCUCUGGACCGUGCGUAAUAAGCUUGUCAUUCAGCGUAUGCCUCUUCGACGGGCCACUGACGCAGUAUUCAAAAUGUGUGGUUAUUUGCAGCUCUGGCGGCCGCUUAGCCGCUUCCAUGACCAGGAAGCCAUCAACACCAUCAUUGCCGACCUUCACGCGAUGGCUCUCCGCUUGGCUCCGCUGCCUCCUCCUCCACCACCUGACCCGGAUUAG